CAAAAAAGCCCCUCUAUUUUCAAGAAUUCAACCCGCAGUCCCUGUUUAAGUGGAUCGGGGAAAACGAUUCGUUUUUGCACAAAACACCCUGUCGUUUGGAUUAUUCAACCCGCGGUCCGAGCAAAUUUGGGUAAAGAAAAAAACACGACCAAAGGAGGAGAACGGGCUCGCCUCCUCUCCCUCUCGCUCAAGUCCUCGCCGCCGCCGCCACCACCCACGCCGGCAGCUUCCGGCGAGCUCCGACGCCGCGCAGCACGCCCCCCAACUCCCCACAGUCCGCUCCUCCCUACCCUCCGUCCAGAUUCUCUGCUCCCGGCCUCUACCGCCCGCUCGAAACGCCACCCCCAUGGCUAGGGUUUCGGGCAGGGCUUCGCCGGCGCGUCUCCGGCGGCCCAGAUGCAGAUGGAGCACGCCAUGGGAAUUCCCCAUCCACCAUGGUCGCCGCCAUCAAGGGCUUCUUCACGGAGAUGUGGAGGACGCCAUGGACCUGCAGCUCCAAGGUCAACAGGGAGGAACCCUAGCCAUAAGCACCUCCUCGGAUGACGCCUCUGCUACACCAAGAUAGAGAUAUAUAUGAUAUCUACAUGGCUGCUAUGCUACUUUUUUUGUGUGAUGAAUCAUUGUGAGUUUCGAAGAAACUUCCAAUGUUACCUCCGCCAAGUUUGCCGGCAGAAGAAGCACAUCCAUUGAGCCGUUCAAUGUCGCCUGCGGUGGCUACACCAGAGGGUAACCAUGGCAUCUUGAGCCCAAGAACAGUGUUACUGCCAUUUAACGCCGCGAUGUUUUAGCUCCAGGAAUUUGGACCCUCCUGCGAUAAGAAUCAGUUGAAAAGGAAAAUUCGUGCAACAGGGAUUUGACCCUAAACUCUUUUGAUUAUACAAACUACAAAGUGAUCUAAUUUCCAUUUUCUCCCUAUGCAGUCAAUCAAAAGUCUUAUUGGCACUUCUUGCUGCUACUACAUUCAUGAUGACCACUGUGUCAAGCCUUCCAAGUAUCUGCUCUCCUGAUGUUUACACAAGGGAGACGCUACUAAGGAAGCAGAACAUGGAGAAGUUUUCUUGAUGUUUACACAAGGGAGAUGAUACUAAAGAAGCAGAUCGCGAAGAAGUUUCAAUGAAUUAGAGAGUUAUAGAUGCCAGCUGGUCCUCUACAUAUCUGUUACCUGAUAAAAAUAAGAAAAAUGCAUGUGCUGCAUUCAUUAAGGCUAAUAGCUCUCAAUUUUGCCAAUGGUAAUGGGCUGUUGGGUAUCAACCGAAUGACAAUAGUGGCCUGAGGGGUGGUAACAUGGUUGCCUCUUGCGGAAUAGCCAUUUAGAUAUUAUUUUGUUGUGUAAUCUUAAUCUCCAUCCAAAUCAUAUUUAAUUUGUAUGUUAAUCUUCUCCUGGUGGAACGCA
This is a long non-coding RNA of Triticum aestivum (bread wheat), 1393 nucleotides long. RefSeq lists it as uncharacterized. The record is from RefSeq and is a predicted model, not a curated record. The transcript is spliced from 6 exons. NCBI's taxonomy places the organism in Eukaryota, Viridiplantae, Streptophyta, Magnoliopsida, Poales, Poaceae.